GGAGGGUGCAAGCGUUGUUCGGAAUUAUUGGGCGUAAAGCGCGUGUAGGCGGUUGUCUAAGUCUGAUGUGAAAGCCCCGGGCUUAACCUGGGAAGUGCAUUGGAAACUGGGCAACUUGAGUACGGGAGAGGAAAGCGGAAUUUCGAGUGUAGGGGUGAAAUCCGUAGAUAUUCGAAGGAACACCAGUGGCGAAGGCGGCUUUCUGGACCGAUACUGACGCUGAGACGCGAGAGCGUGGGGAGCAAACAGGAUUAGAUACCCUGGUAGUCCACGCCGUAAACGAUGGGUACUAGGUGUAGCGGGUAUUGACCCCCCCUGCUGUGCCGAAGCUAACGCAUUAAGUACCCCGCCUGGGGAGUACGGCCGCAAGGCUA
RNAcentral lists this ribosomal RNA (374 nucleotides) under uncultured organism. RNAcentral's name for it is "partial 16S ribosomal RNA". It matches the Rfam family "Bacterial small subunit ribosomal RNA", at positions 527 to 896 of the family's 1533-position model. The record is from RNAcentral.